This 443-nucleotide ribosomal RNA is filed under the name uncultured bacterium. RNAcentral's name for it is "partial 16S ribosomal RNA". It matches the Rfam family "Bacterial small subunit ribosomal RNA", at positions 338 to 795 of the family's 1533-position model. The record is from RNAcentral.
CCUACGGGAGGCUGCAGUGGGGAAUAUUGGGCAAUGGUCGCAAGCCUGACCCAGCAACGCCGCGUGAAGGAAGAAGGCUCUCGGGUUGUCAACUUCUUUUAUCAGGGGCGCAACAAGUGACGGUACCAUAUGAAUAAGGAUCGGCUAACUCCGUGCCAGCAGCCGCGGUAAUACGGAGGAUCCGAGCGUUAUCCGGAUUUGUGGGGUGUAAAGGGCGUGUAGGCGGGAAAGCAAGUCAGAUGUGAAAACCAUGGGCUCAACAUGUGGCCUGCAGUUGAAACGGUUUUUCUUGAGUACUGGAGAGGUAGACGGAAUGCCUAGUGUAGCGGUGAAAUGCGUAGAUAUCAGGAGGAACACCAGUGGCGAAGGCGGUCUGCUGGACAGAAACUGACGCUGAGGCGCGAAAGCGUGGGGAGCAAACAGGAUUAGAUACCCCGGUAGUC